Molecule: non-coding RNA, 2337 nt
Filed under: Limnonectes modestus (Moluccas wart frog)
Lineage: Eukaryota; Metazoa; Chordata; Amphibia; Anura; Dicroglossidae
Description: partial contains tRNA-Phe, 12S ribosomal RNA, tRNA-Val, and 16S ribosomal RNA
Rfam family: Bacterial small subunit ribosomal RNA (bases 1-868)
Source: RNAcentral
UUCAAGCUUUUUCUAAACUUACACAUGCAAGUCUCAACACACCCGUGAGGACCCCCUUCUACCUACACCAGAACAAGGAGCCGGUAUCAGGCACUAAAUUUGCCCACUACACCUAGUCCCACCACGCCCCCAAGGGCUACAGCAGUGAUAAACAUUGUCCAUAAGCGAUAGCUUGACUCAGUUAUAGAAAAAAGAGCUGGCUAACUCGGUGCCAGCCGCCGCGGCUAAACCGCAUGAGCUCAAGUUGAUAAAUAUCGGCGUUAAGCGUGAUUAAAGAUUCCUAAAAAUUAGGGUAAAAUUAUCAUUUAGCUGUAACAAGCUUAUUACUUAAGAAAAACAAAAACGAAAGUUACUCUAAUACACUUGAACCCACGACAGUUGAGGAACAAACUGGGAUUAGAUACCCCACUAUGCUUAACCGUAAAAUAUAAACUUACACUACCAACGCCAGGGAAUUACGAGCCCAGCUUAAAACCCAAAGGACUUGACGGUGUCCCACCCAACUAGAGGAGCCUGUUCUAUAAUCGAUAAUCCCCGAUUUACCUAACCCUAUUUUGCCACUCAGCCUGUAUACCUCCGUCGUAAGCUUACCAUCUGAAUGCCUACAGUAAGUCCAAUGAUCAUAGCAUCAGUACGUCAGGUCAAGGUGCAGCUUAUAUUAAGGAAAGAAAUGGGCUACAAUUUCUAGCUUAGAACAUACGAAAUGCUAAAUGAAACACAACCACGAAGGCGGAUUUAGUAGUAAAAGGGGAAUAAUGUGCCCCUUUUAACAAGGCCCUGGGACGUGACACACCGCCCGCACCCUGUUCAACAUGGCAAGUCGUAACAUGGUAAGUGUACCGGAAGGUGCACUUGGAUAAACAAAAUGUAGCUUAACCCAAAGCCCCUCGCUUACACCGAGAAAAUAUCUGUGAAAUUCAGAUCAUUUUGAGCCAAAAACUUAGCCUAAUUAUAACCUCCUGCGUACCACAAAAAAGUCUUCUAAGCUAAAACAUUUUAUCUAUAUAGUAGAGGCGAUCGAAAAACUUAUUAGAGCCAUAUAACUAGUACCGCAAGGGAAAAAUGAAAUAGUUCUGAAAUAGCCCCAAAGCAAGACACAGCAGAGAUUACCCCUCAUACCUUUUGCAUCAUGGUUUAGCUAGUCCAUAGCAAGCAAAGCGAAACAUCAGUUUGUAACCCCGAAACUAGACGAGCUACUUUAAAACAGUUUAAUAGAACCAACUCAUCUCUGUUGCAAAAGAGUGAGAUGAUUUUAAAGUAGAGGUGAAAAGCCUAACGAGCCUAGAGAUAGCUGGUUACUUAAGAAAGGAAUUUUAGUUCAAUCUCAAACCUCUUUAUUAAGAUAAGAAAUAACCAAAAAUUUGAGAAUUAAUUAAAUAAGGCACAGCUUAUUUAAUAAAGGAAACAGCCUAUAAAAAAGGGUAAAAUUGUUUAUAUAGACAAAGUGGGCCUAAAAGCAGCCAUCUUUAAAAAAGCGUUAAAGCUUCAUCUUCUUAACCUAAUUAAUACCUCGCAACUCUUUAAACCCUUUAACACUAUUAAGUAAUUCUAUAAAUAUAUAGAAGAUUUUAUGCUAAAACUAGUAACAAGAAAUUAUUUUUUCUCCAAAAUUUGAGUAUAUACCAAGAUGGAUAGGCCAUUGGUAAUUAACGUCUAUUAGACAUUAUAGCAACACACACAUCUAGAAAAUACUAUACUUUUAUUACGUUAACCUUACACUAGUAAAUUUCUGGAAAGAUUAAAAGAAAGAGAAGGAACUCGGCAAACUUUAACCCCGCCUGUUUACCAAAAACAUCGCCUCUUGAUAAGAUAUAAGAGGUCCAGCCUGCCCAGUGAUAUUCUUAAACGGCCGCGGUACCCUGACCGUGCAAAGGUAGCAUAAUCAUUUGUUCUUUAAAUAAGGACUUGUAUCAACGGCACUACGAGGGUUAUACUGUCUCCUCUUUCCAAUCAGUGAAACUGACCUCCCCGUGAAGAGGCGGGGAUUUAAAUACAAGACGAGAAGACCCCAUGGAGCUUAAAACCCAAUAACAACUCUUUUUAAUUAAACCCUUAAAAAUAUAGAUUACUGUCUAUUGGUUUUGGGUUGGGGUGACCACGGAGUAAAAAUUAACCUCCUUGACGAAUAGAUUUCAUCUUUAUCCAAGAGCCACUGCUCAACGAAUCAAAAACUUGACAUUACAUGAUCCGCAAUCGAUCAACGAACCAAGUUACCCUGGGGAUAACAGCGCAAUCCAUUUUAAGAGCUCCUAUCGACAAAUGGGUUUACGACCUCGAUGUUGGAUCAGGGUAUCCCAGUGGUGCAGCCGCUACUAAAGGUUUGUUUGUUCAACAAUU